AUGUGGGGAAAGAAGUUGACAAUGUUCAAGCCACCAUUUUGUCUGAGAAUGAAGAAGAAAACUCAGCCAAGACACCAGAAUCCAAAGAAGAAAAAGAUCCAGAAGAAGAUAUCAAUACAGAUCAUAUACUUAAUCAAUCUGAAUUUACAGAAGAAAAGCUAAUAGAUAUCACACAAGUCCACAAUGACGACAUAUCACUUGACCAUGGGAAUCCUUCUGCUACACCAGUGGAAUCCACAGAAGAAAAGCUUCCAGAUUCAGGCCUCCUGACUACAAAUGAAGACAGGGGUGACAGGGCAACUAGUCAACAAAGUGCAUCCCGUGAAGAGAGAUUGCCCUGCGGUAAUGGAGAUGCGCCCUCCCAACACGAUCUUGACACCUCGGACAGCAAAACCUCCCUUGUACAUGGAAGAUCUAACAGUGCCUACACCCCUAGUUAUGAAGAAUACACCCUUCUUCUUGAACAGUUAAAUGAAGAAAGAGCCAACGCCAUUGAACACAUUAAAAGGUUGCAAAUGAAGCUAGCUCCAGUACUUGCCAAGAAGACUAAAGAAGAGCUGGAGAGGGUCCUGCAUGGGUCAAUGCAGAUGGAAAGUUUUGAGCACUGUCUAGAAGUGCUAACUGAACUAAAAGAGAAGAUGAAGGAGGAUGAAGCAACCGCUGAGGGGAAGAUGGAAACGCUGAGAGUUCUUGCAGAAGAGAAGCUAAGCAAGGUGGACAAAGAAUGGCAGGAUUUGCUGUCUCUGAAGAGGGACGUGGCGCUGACGGUGCUAAGCCGGCGAAUGGCUAAACCGCAUGCCCUGGCCAGAGUGGAGUCGGCACUGGCGUCGGAGCAGAUGUACCAGGAGGAGCUGACCAAAGUGCGCCUUCACAACUUCAGUCUGGAGAACAGGAUCCACAGACUGAAGAGGGCGAUCAGCGAGGCGGACAGAAACGCCACCAACCCCUUCCAGCGCGAGUACGAGAAGCUCCACGCCAAGAGGAUGGAGAGGAAGAAGUACGUGGAGAAACAGACGGGGGAGGCGCUCAGAGUGCAGAAGAACGUGGCGAGAAAAUUGCAGACGCUGUCCGAUACCAAAAGGAAAAUCCACUGCUUUGAGACUGAAAUCCAGCAUAAAAGUAAGGAACUGGCCCAAGUGGACGCCAUUAUGGCUCAAAGAGAGAGAAGCUUGCCGGCAUCAAACAUGCUCAAAGCCGCCUACAGAGGGACAACAUGAAGCUGAAGGAGAAGUGCGGCCUGCUGGGAAAUGAAGUCCUGCUCAGAGACUACAGCCACACCACCAAGGCCAACGCUAUCCUGGAGGAAGACUGAAGAAUCUCAAGUAUCAGCAUGCUGAUUUAGAAUUCUCCCUUGGCAGGGGCAGGAAGAGGCUUGAGGCAAUAUGAUGUACACAUUUUCAAUACUACAAAACACUAACAUUUUGACCGUAAGUAAGUAAGUAAGUAAGGGCUGGUGAUGGAUUCGAUGAGGUGGAUUGGGAGGGGCCGGAGUUAUUUGUUCCGGUGGGUAUUGCCUGUGACCGUACAGGGGCUGGUGAUCGACCCCACUGAACUGCAACCUUUGCUCAGAGAAUCUCCUCUCCCUUUUGGUCCUGAACCCAGCAGGAUGUUCAGGUUCCUGAUGCUGACCAGAAGGACAAAUUGGUCAAAUUGGACUGGGAAAACGGAUCACUUGUUGACCACCCUCCUGCCAAGUAGUUGCCGCUGGCUCUCUUGAGGACAAGGAGCCUGAUAAGAACACUGUUGUGAAGGAGGGCAGCGAUAUUCUUCUGGUCGAAAGGCUACUGUUGGAGCUACUUCAUACCGGCCUAGCAAAGGACUGCUUCGAUGCAGAGAACAAUUUGAUGGCAGUUGUCCUGUUACUCUCACAAACUCCUGGAGAGUCCACAUUUGUGAAAGGUAGCUCAAUGAGUGCUGGAAACUGUACUGUUGCCAUUUUGAAUUGUUUAUUGUUCCUGCUUGUUCUGUUCCAACUUAAGCAAUACAAAACCUUCAAAAGGAAGAGAUGGAAAUUGAUUUACUAAACUAAUAAUAAAUUGAGUACCGGCAAGUUUUUGGAAUACGAAUUAUUAUUUUGAUGCUGGUAUGAAAUGUGGUCCUAUAUAGUGUAAAUGUAUGAAAUUAGUUUGGUAUGGCUCCAUGUUAAUAUUUUGUAUUUGUAAUUGUUUCCCCAUCUGGGUUCAACA
Molecule: long non-coding RNA, 2186 nt
Filed under: Neogobius melanostomus (round goby)
Lineage: Eukaryota; Metazoa; Chordata; Actinopteri; Gobiiformes; Gobiidae
Description: lncRNA (ENSNMLG00000001597.1)
Source: RNAcentral